AGGCUGGCCGGAGGUUCCUGCAGAGGGAGCGUCAAGGCCCUGUGCUGCUGUCCUUGGGGGCCAGAGGGGUUGCCCAUCAUGCCCACUGGCAGGAGAGAGGGAACUGACCCACUUGCUCCUACCAGCUUCUGAAGGUGACACUGAGUCCCAGGUGACGCCGCACCACCAAAGAAGGUGCUUGUGUUUGUCAGACAAAUACAGCCAGGCCUGCCACCCCUUAGGCUCCAAAGUCCGGAGGUGCAGAAAGCCAGGACCAAGAGACAGGCAGCUCACCAGGGUGGACAAAUCGCCAGAGAUGUGGUGCAUUGUCCUGUUUUCACUUUUGGCAUGGGUUUAUGCUGAGCCUACCAUGUAUGGGGAGAUCCUGUCCCCUAACUAUCCUCAGGCAUAUCCCAGUGAGGUAGAGAAAUCUUGGGACAUAGAAGUUCCUGAAGGGUAUGGGAUUCACCUCUACUUCACCCAUCUGGACAUUGAGCUGUCAGAGAACUGUGCGUAUGACUCAGUGCAGGUAUGUUAUAAGCACAAAAAGAAUAGAGAUGGAAGACUAGGGCUAAGGUAGCGGAAUAAGGAUGUGGGAGGGAGUGCCACCUGUACUCACAGUGAACUGGAGUCAAGUCCUAGUGGCAUAAAUGUU
Molecule: small RNA, 634 nt
Filed under: Pan troglodytes (chimpanzee)
Lineage: Eukaryota; Metazoa; Chordata; Mammalia; Primates; Hominidae
Description: retained intron
Source: RNAcentral